This 253-nucleotide ribosomal RNA is filed under the name uncultured bacterium. RNAcentral's name for it is "partial 16S ribosomal RNA". It matches the Rfam family "Bacterial small subunit ribosomal RNA", at positions 524 to 776 of the family's 1533-position model. The record is from RNAcentral. RNAcentral also lists the same sequence under 1 other name.
UACAGAGGGUGCGAGCGUUGUUCGGAAUCAUUGGGCGUAAAGCGCUUGUAGGCGGCUUGUUAAGUCGCGUGUGAAAUCCCUUGGCUCAACCAAGGAAGUGCGCGCGAAACUGGCGAGCUGGAGUGCCGGAGAGGGUCGCGGAAUUCCCGGUGUAGAGGUGAAAUUCGUAGAUAUCGGGAGGAACACCAGUGGCGAAGGCGGCGACCUGGACGGACACUGACGCUGAGACGCGAAAGCGUGGGGAGCAAACAGG